RNAcentral lists this ribosomal RNA (230 nucleotides) under uncultured Bacteroidota bacterium. Its description in RNAcentral is "uncultured Bacteroidetes bacterium partial 16S ribosomal RNA". It matches the Rfam family "Bacterial small subunit ribosomal RNA", at positions 28 to 263 of the family's 1533-position model. The record is from RNAcentral. Lineage: Bacteria; Pseudomonadati; Bacteroidota.
GAUGAACGCUAGCGGCAGGCUUAACACAUGCAAGUCGAGGGGUAACAGGAGUGCUUGCACUCGCUGACGACCGGCGCACGGGUGCGUAACGCGUAUAGAACCUACCUUUACAGAGGGAUAGCCUUUAGAAAUGAAGAUUAAUACCUCAUAGUAUUAAUUUUGGCAUCGAAAUUUAUUAAGAUUAUCGGUAAAGAUGGCUAUGCGUCUUAUUAGCUAGAUGGUAAGUACGG